This is a non-coding RNA of Zootermopsis nevadensis, 397 nucleotides long. The record is from RefSeq and is a predicted model, not a curated record. NCBI's taxonomy places the organism in Eukaryota, Metazoa, Arthropoda, Insecta, Blattodea, Termopsidae.
CUGUGCGUCUGCCGAGAGUGAAAGAGAAAUAGUGCAUAUAUUGGGUUGUGUUAGGGAGAGAUAUUUUAUUAUUUUAUGCAUGUGUUUUUUAUAAUACAAAUUAAAAGAGAUGUGCGUGGUGUGUGCAUAUAUUUUAUGUAAAAUAUGACAGUGUACGAAAGACGUGGUUUGGUGGGUGUCGUAUUUGAAGUGUGUUGAACUGUUGGGUGGGGAGGUUGCUGUGAAUUGGACAGGUGUGCUGCUGGUGUGCCACCAGGGUCUUCACAUUGCUGAAGGUGGCAGUUGAUGUGAAGAGCAACGCCAUGUAUCAUCUACCGAUCCAUAGCGUCACUGUGUUCCUGGUCUUUUUCCUGUCAUGUACUGAAACGGCAGCCGAAGGUAAGCCCCUUGUGUUGUG